AAGGUAGCGGCGGAACUUCGGCGGUGGACGGUGGUCUCCGGCGGUUUAAACAGGAAAGAUAGAGAAAGGUGAGCGUUCGCGAGGUGGGAGGUGGUUGCAGGCGGUUUUCCGACAGGCGGUUCGAAGGUGGUUGUGAACGAGAGUUGUGAGAUUGUGAAGGAACGGAGUCUCGGUAUAUAGGAAUCGAAGGCGGUUCCCGAACUUUGGAAACGAUCGUGUGUUUGGAAACCGAAUCAAUUCGGUUAAUGGCAAUCAUGUUGAAUAUUUGAUUGGCAAUCAAGAAUGAUAAUAAAGGAAAAGAUGAAGGAAUCGGGAAGUUUUCACGAAAUGGAAAGAAAAAGUCAAAAGCUGUUGCUGAAUUUCUGUUUUGGGCGGCAAAUGGUAUCAGAUCGCCUUGCCUUCGAAAUAGUGGUUAAAUAUGGUUGAGAGGUU
Molecule: long non-coding RNA, 432 nt
Filed under: Helianthus annuus (common sunflower)
Lineage: Eukaryota; Viridiplantae; Streptophyta; Magnoliopsida; Asterales; Asteraceae
Source: RNAcentral